UACGGGGGGAGCAAGCGUUGUUCGGAUUUACUGGGCGUAAAGGGCGCGUAGGCGGCCAGCACAAGUCAGUUGUGAAAUCUCCGAGCUUAACUCGGAAAGGUCAACUGAUACUGUGCGGCUAGAGUGCAGAAGGGGCAACUGGAAUUCUUGGUGUAGCGGUGAAAUGCGUAGAUAUCAAGAGGAACACCUGUGGCGAAGGCGGCUCACUGGUCCGGUACUGACGCUGAGGUGCGAAAGCGUGGGGAGCAAACAGG
RNAcentral lists this ribosomal RNA (254 nucleotides) under uncultured bacterium. RNAcentral's name for it is "partial 16S ribosomal RNA". It matches the Rfam family "Bacterial small subunit ribosomal RNA", at positions 524 to 776 of the family's 1533-position model. The record is from RNAcentral.